Pteronotus mesoamericanus is the source of this 128-nucleotide small nucleolar RNA. The record is from RefSeq and is a predicted model, not a curated record. NCBI's taxonomy places the organism in Eukaryota, Metazoa, Chordata, Mammalia, Chiroptera, Mormoopidae.
CAGCAUUGGCAAGUGACCCAUUUGUCUCCUUCUUGACCAACUGGACGUCGAGCAGUGCAAAAGUAAAUCCCGCCUAAAGCUGGGAGAGUCAUGGUGUGGGCUACUCCUGCAUGCAGGUGGGUACAAAU